UUUUUAUUUUUAUAUUUUAAAUCUUGAUUUUAUUUUAUGUUUUUUAAAUGUUAGUGUUUUUGAAUAUAUUAUUUAAAUAACAUAAAAAAUAAAAUAUAUAUUGACAUGGAUUAAACAAAGAUAUAUAUUAUUUUAUGUUGCAUAAACAAAUUGGCAAAAUAGAGAUGGAAGAUAAAAAU
This 179-nucleotide unclassified non-coding RNA is filed under the name Borreliella burgdorferi (Lyme disease spirochete). RNAcentral describes it as "partial 5S-23S ribosomal RNA intergenic spacer region". Lineage: Bacteria; Pseudomonadati; Spirochaetota; Spirochaetia; Spirochaetales; Borreliaceae. The record is from RNAcentral.